Molecule: long non-coding RNA, 859 nt
Organism: Rosa chinensis
Lineage: Eukaryota; Viridiplantae; Streptophyta; Magnoliopsida; Rosales; Rosaceae
Exons: 2
Source: RefSeq, a predicted model, not a curated record
CAUUGUCCAGAAACCCUAAUGUUCUGUUGCUAUAUAAAUGGAGCAGAAAAUGCUACGCUCAUCUUCAAGGCUUCAGAGACGACGCUCCGUGCCAAACUGAAAUGAAAUCCCAUUUUAUGAUUUUGAUUUUUGAAUUCGAUACUUAGCAUCACGAAAUGGUCUCUGUUUGAUUGUUUUGAAUGUGGUUGUUGUUUGUUUCUUUCUUUCUUUCGAAUAAGAAUUGUGUUAAGGCAUCGAAUCAUGAACCUCUCUGCUCAUCAAUGGCAUAGAGACUACGAAGAGAUGCGAAAUCAAACCUGAAAGGGUAGCACUUUUGGACUGGCAGACUCGCAUCCUCAAAUGGGUUCUGACCUUUUCUCCUGACUUCUUUUUCCCCUGGUACGACACAUUAGAAUUUUACCGGGCACCAUGGUAUUAUAUAUAUAUUGAGCAGUAAUUCCCUGCAUUUGGACUUAAGAAGAAUUGGUUGGUCUCUUGAGUCUUGACUUCUGAGAACUGCAAUGUGCAACAGGAAACUGUGAGGUGAAAUUGGUCGAGCUUGCUGCAACAACUUAGUGACAUUUUUGUCCCAUCACAGUUAGAAACUUAGAAGCUAUAGUUUGUAGUCAAAUUAUGUGUAUUUCUUGGUAGAAGGUACACAUCAAUUGCAAACUAUUACGUUUUUGUUUAUUCUGGUUCAAACUUUUGAGUAUUGUAAUUAUCAUACGGUCAGUACAUUUUGAUUGUAUGAUUACAAUACAAAUAGGCAUUUAAUCAUGCAUCUAGACUUGUAUUACUCCUGUAUGCAUCCAAACAUUGCUACUGUAAAACUUGUGGAACGAUUGAUCCUUUUUAUGAAUUUAUGAAUUUGGUCCAAGGA